CCUACGGGGUGCAGCAGUGGGGAAUAUUGCACAAUGGGGGAAACCCUGAUGCAGCGACGCCGCGUGAGUGAAGAAGUAUUUCGGUAUGUAAAGCUCUAUUAGCAGGGAAGAAAAUGACGGUUCCUGAUUAAGAAGCCCCGGCUAACUACGUGCCAGCAGCCGCGGUAAUACGUAGGGGGCAAGCGUUAUCCGGAUCUAUUGUGUGUAAAGGGAGCGUAGAUGGCAGCACAAGUCUGGAGUGAAAGGCCGGGGCUUAACCCCGGAACUGCAUUGGAAACUGGGCAGCUAGAGUGCAGGAGAGGUGAGUGGAAUUCCUGGUGUAGCGGUGAAAUGCGUAGAUAUUAGGAGGAACACCAGUGGCGAAGGCGGCUUACUGGACUGUAACUGACGUUGAGGCUCGAAAGCGUGGGGAGCAAACAGGAUUAGAUACCCUAGUAGUC
This 440-nucleotide ribosomal RNA is filed under the name uncultured bacterium. RNAcentral describes it as "partial 16S ribosomal RNA". It matches the Rfam family "Bacterial small subunit ribosomal RNA", at positions 338 to 795 of the family's 1533-position model. The record is from RNAcentral.